AUCCUAAUAACUUAGC
RNAcentral lists this ribosomal RNA (16 nucleotides) under Fusarium sp. 6278. RNAcentral's name for it is "partial 18S ribosomal RNA". The record is from RNAcentral. Lineage: Eukaryota; Fungi; Ascomycota; Sordariomycetes; Hypocreales; Nectriaceae.